GACGAACGCUGGCGGCGUGCUUAACACAUGCAAGUCGAGCGGUAAGGCCCUUUCGGGGGUACACGAGCGGCGAACGGGUGAGUAACACGUGGGUGACCUGCCCUCAGCUCUGGGAUAAGCCUGGGAAACUGGGUCUAAUACUGGAUAUGACUCCACGGUGCAUGUCGUGGGGUGGAAAGCCUUGUGCGGCUGAGGAUGGGCCCGCGGCCUAUCAGCUUGUUGGUGGGGUGANGGCCUACCAAGGCGACGACGGGUAGCCGGCCUGAGAGGGCGACCGGCCACACUGGGACUGAGACACGGCCCAGACUCCUACGGGAGGCGGGCAGGUGGGGGAAUCUUGCGCAAUGGGCGAAAGCCUGACGCAGCGACGCCGCGUGAGGGAUGACGGCCU
Molecule: ribosomal RNA, 391 nt
Filed under: uncultured bacterium
Lineage: Bacteria
Description: bacterial SSU rRNA
Rfam family: Bacterial small subunit ribosomal RNA
Source: RNAcentral